UUCGGCACGGAUGCCGGGAAAGCCUUAUGUAACCGAGUUUGGCGAAGACAAACUCGAGGUGAAAAUCGUACAGGGAUGUACGACUUUCACACUGC
RNAcentral lists this small RNA (95 nucleotides) under Treponema maltophilum ATCC 51939. Its description in RNAcentral is "TD-2 RNA". It matches the Rfam family "TD-2 RNA". From Rfam's summary of the family: non coding RNA found in Treponema denticola The record is from Rfam by way of RNAcentral. Lineage: Bacteria; Pseudomonadati; Spirochaetota; Spirochaetia; Treponematales; Treponemataceae.